AAUGGGCGGAAGCCUGAUCCAGCCAUGCCGCGUGCAGGAAGACUGCCUAUGGGUUGUAAACUGCUUUUGUACAGGAAGAACCUUUCCACGUGUGGAGAGCUGACGGUACUGUAAGAAUAAGCAUCGGCUAACUCCGUGCCAGCAGCCGCGGUAAUACGGAGGAUGCAAGCGUUAUCCGGAAUCAUCGGGUUUAAAGGGUCCGUAGGUGGAUCGGUCAGUCAGAGGUGAAAUCCUGCAGCUCAACUGUAGAACUGCCUUUGAUACUGCCGGUCUUGAAUUAUUGUGAAGUGGUUAGAAUAUGUAGUGUAGCGGUGAAAUGCAUAGAUAUUACAUAGAAUACCGAUUGCGAAGGCAGAUCACUAACAAUAUAUUGACACUGAUGGACGAAAGCGUGGGGAGCGAACGGGAUU
RNAcentral lists this ribosomal RNA (410 nucleotides) under uncultured Flavobacteriia bacterium. RNAcentral's name for it is "bacterial SSU rRNA". It matches the Rfam family "Bacterial small subunit ribosomal RNA", at positions 370 to 779 of the family's 1533-position model. The record is from RNAcentral. Lineage: Bacteria; Pseudomonadati; Bacteroidota; Flavobacteriia.